This 504-nucleotide ribosomal RNA is filed under the name uncultured Oscillibacter sp. RNAcentral describes it as "partial 16S ribosomal RNA". Lineage: Bacteria; Bacillati; Bacillota; Clostridia; Eubacteriales; Oscillospiraceae. The record is from RNAcentral.
CGCGUAGUUAGCCGUGGCUUAUUCAAGGGGUACCGUCUUCUGCUCUUCCCCCUUAAAAGAAGUUUACAACCCGAAAGCCUUCUUCCUUCACGCGGCGUUGCUGGGUCAGGCUUGCGCCCAUUGCCCAAUAUUCCCCACUGCUGCCUCCCGUAGGAGUCUGGGCCGUAUCUCAGUCCCAAUGUGGCCGGUCAACCUCUCAGUCCGGCUACUGAUCGUCGCCUAGGUGGGCCGUUACCCCGCCUACUAGCUAAUCAGACGCGAGGCCAUCUUCCAGCGAUAAAUCUUUGACAUGUCCGUGAUGCCACGGCCAUGUGUCAUGCGGUAUUAGCAGUCGUUUCCAACUGUGUCCCCUCUGGAAGCAGGUUCCUCACGCGUUACUCACCAGUCCGCCACUAAGCAUUCCCUUCCAUUGUCCGAAAACUCUUUCAGGGGUGCUCCGUUCGACUUGCAUGUGUUAAGCUACGCCGCCAGCGUCGUCCUGUAGCCAGGACUACGAAACCUACU